CAGAGGGUAGUUUAAUUUAGAAUCUUAGCUUUGGAGCUAGUGG
RNAcentral lists this transfer RNA (43 nucleotides) under Coregonus baicalensis (Baikal whitefish). Its description in RNAcentral is "partial tRNA-Pro". The record is from RNAcentral. Lineage: Eukaryota; Metazoa; Chordata; Actinopteri; Salmoniformes; Salmonidae.